Molecule: long non-coding RNA, 1006 nt
Organism: Scatophagus argus
Lineage: Eukaryota; Metazoa; Chordata; Actinopteri; Scatophagidae
Exons: 3
Source: RefSeq, a predicted model, not a curated record
GACUUCCCCCAUCAGGAGUGCUGUUCAUGCUGUUGAUUGUGGAGAGGUCCCACCCUAACCACACCAACAGAUGAAAGCCUCUUAUUUUAUGCACCUGUGAACAUUUCCACACAUCUUCUUUGCUGAGUCCGUUUACCCGCCCUUGUCAAAUAGCCAUCUCUCCAACUGACAGAGAAUACUGGACAUCCCACCCUGAUUAUACUAUUCAUUUAUUUUUAUUAGUCUUGACAGGCUCACUCUCCAUGCAGCAGUUGUACCGCUGAUCCGUCUCCUGUCUUUGAGACAAAACACUUUUUCUUUCACCAAGGAGGUUACAUACUGAGGAUAACGAACAGGGAAGAGAAUUUGAAUUUGAAUUUUUAUUAGUAUUAGUAUUAGCCAGAAAGAAUUCAUUGAUAGAUAAAAAAUAAAAACGAAUUAGGAUGAAUUGUGUCAUCUGAUCACUUUCAAAUGCUGUGAAGAAGGAAACAUGAUUGACAGUGACAAGUGUGGGAUUGACGUCAAUAUAGCCGGAGCAGCUCGUUAUGAAGUCAGCAGUUUUCAUUGCCCAACUCAACCAAUCAAUGUGAACUGGAGACAGUAAAUUUCCUUUGGGAAAUGCAACAGAAACAGUGCUCAGUGGAGAAAGAGGGAACCCAGCAGCACAAACAGUCACCACUCUCCUCAUUUUGACUGCAUGUAGGAUUCCUGUGAGAGACGCUUACCUUUUGUUGACUAAAGAAUUACUGCUGAAAAAUUAACCUGCGUUUUGGAAGGGGCUACCACACUUGAUAUGAAAUGACGCAGAGUGCAGAAGAACAUAUACUCUGCUUUUUGAUUUAUGUCUUUCAGAAAUUGCUGUAACUGUGCUGUCAGUGUCUGGGAGACUGCAUUGGCGUGACUCUUGUUGGGCAUCUGCCAAGAAAAGAAAUGCAGGAAAUGGACCAGCAAUGACAGGCUAAGGUGAAAUUUAUUAUGCCUCUGCACUAACGAUAACCAUGGCCGGAGUUAUUGUGUUUUUGUGCUG